RNAcentral lists this non-coding RNA (1353 nucleotides) under Streptomyces sp. WAC00263. RNAcentral's name for it is "bacterial LSU rRNA". It matches the Rfam family "Bacterial large subunit ribosomal RNA", at positions 482 to 1840 of the family's 2925-position model. The record is from RNAcentral. Lineage: Bacteria; Bacillati; Actinomycetota; Actinomycetes; Kitasatosporales; Streptomycetaceae.
GACCGAUAGUGAACCAGUACCGUGAGGGAAAGGUGAAAAGUACCCCGGAAGGGGAGUGAAAGAGAACUUGAAACCGUGUGCUUACAAGUAGUCAGAGCCCGUUAAUGGGUGAUGGCGUGCCUUUUGUAGAAUGAACCGGCGAGUUACGAUUUGAUGCAAGGUUAAGCAGCUAAUGUGGAGCCGUAGCGAAAGCGAGUCUGAAUAGGGCGUUUAGUAUUUGGUCGUAGACCCGAAACCAGGUGAUCUACCCUUGGUCCGGUUGAAGUUCAGGUAACACUGAAUGGAGGACCGAACCGACUUACGUUGAAAAGUGAGCGGAUGAACUGAGGGUAGCGGAGAAAUUCCAAUCGAACUUGGAGAUAGCUGGUUCUCUCCGAAAUAGCUUUAGGGCUAGCCUCAAGUGAUGAUUAUUGGAGGUAGAGCACUGGUUGGACGAGGGGCCCUUCUCGGGUUACCGAAUUCAGACAAACUCCGAAUGCCAAUCAAUUUAACUUGGGAGUCAGAACAUGGGUGAUAAGGUCCGUGUUCGAAAGGGAAACAGCCCAGACCACCAGCUAAGGUCCCAAAAUAUAUGUUAAGUGGAAAAGGAUGUGGCGUUGCCCAGACAACUAGGAUGUUGGCUUAGAAGCAGCCAUCAUUUAAAGAGUGCGUAAUAGCUCACUAGUCGAGUGACACUGCGCCGAAAAUGUACCGGGGCUAAACAUAUUACCGAAGCUGUGGAUUGUCCGUAGGACAAUGGUAGGAGAGCGUUCUAAGGGCGUCGAAGCAUGAUCGCAAGGACAUGUGGAGCGCUUAGAAGUGAGAAUGCCGGUGUGAGUAGCGAAAGACGGGUGAGAAUCCCGUCCACCGAUUGACUAAGGUUUCCAGAGGAAGGCUCGUCCGCUCUGGGUUAGGCGGGUCCUAAGCUGAGGCCGACAGGCGUAGGCGAUGGAUAACAGGUUGAUAUUCCUGUACCACCUAGUAUCGUUUUAAUCGAUGGGGGGACGCAGUAGGAUAGGCGAAGCGUGCUAUUGGAUUGCACGUCCAAGCAGUAAGACUGAGUGUUAGGCAAAUCCGGCACUCAUAAGGUCAAGCUGUGAUGGGGAGAGGAAAUUGUUUCCUCGAGUCGUUGUUUUCACACUGCCAAGAAAAGCCUCUAGAUAGAUAACAGGUGCCCGUACCGCAAACCGACACAGGUAGUCAAGAUGAGAAUUCUAAGGUGAGCGAGCGAACUCUCGUUAAGGAACUCGGCAAAAUGACCCCGUAACUUCGGGAGAAGGGGUGCUCUUUAGGGUUAACGCCCAGAAGAGCCGCAGUGAAUAGGCCCAAGCGACUGUUUAUCAAAAACACAGGUCUCUGCUAAACCGUAAGGUG